ACCAGGAUGACCGAGUGGUUAAGGCGUUGGACUUAAGAUCCAAUGGACGAAUGUCCGCUGUGGGUUCAAACCCCACUCCUGGUA
Non-coding RNA from Pelobates fuscus (common spadefoot toad), 84 nucleotides. Lineage: Eukaryota; Metazoa; Chordata; Amphibia; Anura; Pelobatidae. The record is from the annotation of a RefSeq genome assembly.